AUGAUAAUGGUGUUUUUAUUUGGUUGGUUCACAGUUGAUUCCAUUUAUUAUUUCUUUGUUUUUUAUUGCUUUGGGCUGAAAAACUAGUCAUUGAGGACAGAAUUGUUCAGAGGUGUUUGUAGUACUGUAUCAGCUUCGAUUUGGCGAGUCUUUGCAUAAUGCUCUUAACUACAAAUUAUAAGUGGAGCCAAAAUGGAAAAGCGAAAAAAUGUCUUAAUAAAAGACGAUAUUUUAAUAAUUUUUGUCAAUAAUAAGGGGAUCUUGGCAUCUCAGCGCAGCAAUUUUUACUAUUGUUCCUUUUCCUCAAUUAAAUGAUUAAAAA
RNAcentral lists this unclassified non-coding RNA (322 nucleotides) under Hevea brasiliensis (rubber tree). The record is from RNAcentral. Lineage: Eukaryota; Viridiplantae; Streptophyta; Magnoliopsida; Malpighiales; Euphorbiaceae.